RNAcentral lists this ribosomal RNA (292 nucleotides) under uncultured bacterium. Its description in RNAcentral is "partial 16S ribosomal RNA". It matches the Rfam family "Bacterial small subunit ribosomal RNA", at positions 505 to 796 of the family's 1533-position model. The record is from RNAcentral.
GUGCCAGCAGCCGCGGUAAUACGUAGGGCGCAAGCGUUGUCCGGAAUUAUUGGGCGUAAAGAGCUCGUAGGUGGCUGGUCGCGUCUGCCGUGAAAGCCCGCAGCUUAACUGCGGGUCUGCGGUGGAUACGGGCCGGCUAGAGGUAGGUAGGGGCAAGUGGAAUUCCUGGUGUAGCGGUGAAAUGCGCAGAUAUCAGGAGGAACACCGGUGGCGAAGGCGGCUUGCUGGGCCUUACCUGACGCUGAGGAGCGAAAGCGUGGGGAGCGAACAGGAUUAGAUACCCCUGUAGUCC